Molecule: unclassified non-coding RNA, 302 nt
Filed under: Hevea brasiliensis (rubber tree)
Lineage: Eukaryota; Viridiplantae; Streptophyta; Magnoliopsida; Malpighiales; Euphorbiaceae
Source: RNAcentral
AUUAAUGGCUCUUCCAAUUCAAGAAAAAGUAAUGUUUUGAGUGAAAAUUCUGAGGUGAUAUUUGAAAUCAUUCAAGAACUUGAAGUUACUAAUCAAUAGAAAGAACAAUACAUUGAGAUUUUGGACUUAAUUUCCUUUCAUGGUUCUCUUCAAGUGAUAGAAAGCCAGUUCUCAAAAUUCUUCAUCCUCUUGAAUUAAUUUUCACAAGCAACUCAUAGAGAAAACUCACCAUUCCCCAACACAAAAGCACAAUUGAAUUGAUAGCUUUUAGUAUAUAUAAACCACAUACCUCAUCAAGCAUG